AGUGAACGCUGGCGGUAGGCCUAACACAUGCAAGUCGAACGGCAGCACAGUAAGAGCUUGCUCUUACGGGUGGCGAGUGGCGGACGGGUGAGGAAUACAUCGGAAUCUACUUUUUCGUGGGGGAUAACGUAGGGAAACUUACGCUAAUACCGCAUACGACCUACGGGUGAAAGCAGGGGAUAUUCGGACCUUGCGCGAUUGAAUGAGCCGAUGUCGGAUUAGCUAGUUGGCGGGGUAAAGGCCCACCAAGGCGACGAUCCGUAGCUGGUCUGAGAGAAUGAUCAGCCGCACUGGAACUGAGACACGGUCCAGACGCCUACGAGAGGCAGCAGUGGGGAAUAUUGGACAAUGGGCGCAAGCCUGAUCCAGCCAUACCGAGUGGGUGAAGAAGGCCUUCGGGUUGUAAAGCCCUUUUGUUGGGAAAGAAAAGCAGCAGGUUAAUACCCCGCUGUUCUGACGGUACCCAAAGAAUAAGCACCGGCUAACUUCGUG
RNAcentral lists this ribosomal RNA (492 nucleotides) under uncultured bacterium. Its description in RNAcentral is "partial 16S ribosomal RNA". It matches the Rfam family "Bacterial small subunit ribosomal RNA", at positions 29 to 507 of the family's 1533-position model. The record is from RNAcentral.